RNAcentral lists this ribosomal RNA (425 nucleotides) under uncultured bacterium. Its description in RNAcentral is "partial 16S ribosomal RNA". It matches the Rfam family "Bacterial small subunit ribosomal RNA", at positions 354 to 796 of the family's 1533-position model. The record is from RNAcentral.
GUGGGGAAUAUUGGACAAUGGGCGCAAGCCUGAUCCAGCCAUGCCGCGUGAGUGAUGAAGGCCUUAGGGUUGUAAAGCUCUUUCACCGAUGAAGAUAAUGACGGUAGUCGGAGAAGAAGCCCCGGCUAACUUCGUGCCAGCAGCCGCGGUAAUACGAAGGGGGCUAGCGUUGUUCGGAAUUACUGGGCGUAAAGCGCACGUAGGCGGACAUUUAAGUCAGGGGUGAAAUCCCGGGGCUCAACCCCGGAACUGCCUUUGAUACUGGGUGUCUGGAGUAUGGAAGAGGUAAGUGGAAUUCCGAGUGUAGAGGUGAAAUUCGUAGAUAUUCGGAGGAACACCAGUGGCGAAGGCGGCUUACUGGUCCAUUACUGACGCUGAGGUGCGAAAGCGUGGGGAGCAAACAGGAUUAGAUACCCGGGUAGUCC